AUUAAAAAUAUAAUCUCCUGAACCAUGUGAAGAAGGUGGAAACUUGCAUGGAAUAUAGGCUUAAAUAACAGUAGAGUAUUAUAUAUGAGAUAUUUUAUAUAAUAUUAAUACCUAUUAAGUAAUUGUAGGGAUACUUAUAAAAAAUAUUAUAAGUCUGGGCUUAUAUGUGGAGGCAAUAUUCUUAGGUAAGUCACUUUUCUUAUCGGUGUGAUAAUAGACGAUCUAGAUGGAUAAUAAUCCUAUUAACCUUAGCUGGUAACUAAGAUAAUUAAUAGGAAAUGCGAAUAACACACUUUGAUUUGAUGCCGUUUUGGCUAUAAGAUAAGUUUAUGGUGCUAUGGUGAAUAUCAGAAAAAGCUAUAUUAUAAAAUCAUAGAGAUGAUUCUGAAUGCUCACUUGUAGUUGUUAGUAUUAAUCUAACUACGGAAAUAAUGCUUUAGAAGUAUAUGGGUAGCUACUAUAUGCUCAGACUAAAGUACCGUGUGGACGAAUACCUAUUUAUAUAACGCUAUUUUAAAGAGAAAUCUUCAGGAGAUUAUAUUUUAA
RNAcentral lists this small RNA (546 nucleotides) under uncultured Anaeroplasma sp. RNAcentral describes it as "ROOL RNA". It matches the Rfam family "ROOL RNA". Rfam says of the family: Firmicutes, Fusobacteria (1 example), Tenericutes (1 example). Environment (Cow rumen (57)) The record is from RNAcentral. Lineage: Bacteria; Bacillati; Mycoplasmatota; Mollicutes; Anaeroplasmatales; Anaeroplasmataceae.